AUGGCGAUGACGAAGGUGAAGGGGCUGCAGAUGUGGUGUCAGCGCCGGGUUGAGGGAUACCGGGACGUGAACGUCGUCGACAUGACCAAGUCUUGGAAGAGUGGCCUGGCCUUCUGUGCACUCAUACACAAGUUCCGACCAGACCUAAUUGACUAUGACUCCCUGUCCAAGGAAAACAUCUUCGAGAACAAUCAGCUGGCGUUUGAGGUUGCGGAGCGUGAGUUGGCGAUCCCGGCGUUGUUGGAGGCGCAGGACAUGGUUGAGAUUCGUGUGCCAGACAAGCUGAGUGUCGUCACCUACGUGUCCCAGUACUACAACUACUUCAAGGAUGCUCCACAGUUAGGUGGACCAGGUGUGACAGCCAAGCAGACGUCAAGCAGUUCACACAAGAGAUCCCCUGCUGUUCAACCAGUGACUGGGCCAGAAAUCAAGCGGUUUGCUCCAGCCAAUGAUAGGAAUGUGGAAUCCGCAACACCCAAGAGAAGCGAGGAAGCCAAGAAGACCAGCACUCUGGGAGAUAAGUGUGUGAUAUGCAACAACAAAGUAUAUUUGCUGGAACGACAAAUUGAAAAUGGCAAACUCUACCACAGAUCCUGUUUCCGCCAUAGUGAGCUCUCCCCGACAGCCAAGGUUUUUAAAUCAUCCCUCUCCUCACCUUCUGACGACUUUGCGAGUAAAGCGAAAGUGCGUAAAACCGAUGAAAGUCCCUCACGGGCAAAGUCAAAUGGACUCAAGCAUGUGGAAACAUCUCAGAACAGUAAAAGUGACCCAACUAAGUCCUUGUUUUCAAAUGAUAAUAGAUCACAGCCAACUACUGCAAGUGAAACACCAUCAUCCAAACCUGAUCCAUUGUUGGAACGGUUGAAAAGCAGGAUGGAAGUUGACAAGAAAGAAAGUGAAGUUCCCAAGUAUAAGAAGAAUCGACCUCUCAUUUUACAAACGGGCACAAAGGAGUCUGAUGAUAGUAAGAAGGCUGAGCCUCCCACGCCAACAUUCAAUGCAAAGAAGUUUGACAAACAUGAAUUUGGUUUUCUCUCAAAGAAUAAAGAAUCAAAUACAAAGGCUGAAGAAUCAAAACCAAAAGAAACUAAGUCAGGGUUCCUUACCUCUAAAACAGAACCAUCUAAACCUACAGAGACAAGUAGUAAGACAGACUUUCCUGUGCCAAAGUCAAGGAAGUUUGGUGUAAAGGAAACUACGAAAGUUGAAAAAAUGGACACAUCCGAACCUUUCGGAGCAAAGUUAAAGCAUGUCUCUCCAACACCUGUUAAAAAGACAUUUGAAAAAACUAAUGAUAACUCCAAGAAACCUGACCAGGUGAAACCUAAAUCACCUGGAUUUGGGAAAAAGUUGUUAAUAUCUCAUGCCAAAGAUAAGGUGAACACGCCCGACUCUCCCCCUCCUCCUCUCCCAUCAUCACAGCCCCCAAGUAAACUCACCACCAAGUACACCCCACAUACAGAAGCUGCUCCCCCUGUGCCCUCGUCAAUGCCCCCAUCCUUCCCCUAUAAAUCAAGUAACAUCACAGUCAAUCUCUCCACCACCACCACCACCAGCUCCACUAAACCUACAAACAAGGUGGGCAUUCUCAAAACCACCACCACUACCACCACCACCACCACCACCAAUGUUCCCAAGGGCAUCACCACCAAUGUUCCCAAAGGCACCACCACCAAUGUUCCCAAGGGCAUCACCACCAAUGUUCCCAAAGGCACCACCAGUGUCCCGAAGGACACCACCACCAAUGCAGCACCCCUUAAACCACCCAGGUUAUAUAUAGCAGACGUUAGAUCCGAGAGUCCCAUGGAUGUGGAUGAGGCGUUACAUAAGGCGUCACAUCCAAGACCUGGGUCUGAACCUGUUGCAGUGCUUGUCAAUCCCACUGACAAGAACCCUGCUAAGGAAAAGAGGGUUUUAGGUGGACUGUUAGCAAGUCUAGCUAAUGUUCGACAGAGUAAAACAGAUGAUGUGACAUCGCCAACAGACAAUUCAUCAAAUAAAAUGCCCCCUGUUGCUAAGUCUAGUACAGAGGUGAAAAGAGAACCAAAUUCAAAUAGACCAAAGAGUGAGUCUGCACUUCCGAAAUCUAAAGUCGAAUUAAGUGUUGCAAAAACAAAGGUUGGUGCUGAUGUGUCAAAGAAAGAGGUCAGUGAUGGGAAAAGUAAGUCCCCUUUUUCAUUUGUUUCGGAUAAGAUAGGAAUAUUCAAAAAGGAUGAAAAUAAGGAAAGUGCUGACAUAAUUUCAAAAGGUGAACAUAGAUCUAAAGUCACAGACACUUCUUCAAGCAGAACAAGUGCAAUAUCUUCCAGUGUAAAUUUGACGUCUGGUGCUGAGAAGUUAAAAAUGAAAGACACAAGUAAGUCUAAACCAGAGGAGAGUGUGCCAAGUUGGAAGAAGGAUACAGGUUUGAAGGAGCUGAAAUCAAAGGGGAACAAUUUGCUGCAGGACAGUAAUGUUUCGAGUAAAGGCUCUGACAAUGUACCAUCUUGGAAAAAAAGUGAUUAUUCAAAGACAAGAGGAUCUGAUCUGCUGCAGGAUAGCAAGUCAGAGCAGAAGUCUAAGUCAGAAGCAUCAGACCAGGUUCCUUCAUGGAAACAGAGAUUGCACGAUAAAGAUCAGCAUAAAUCAGACUUACUGCUGGACAGUAAUGCUAAACACAAGUCUGAGCCUGUUGCCGGCGACGACACUCCUCCAUGGAUGAAAGCUUUAGAGAAACGAAAAGCUGAAAAGGCAAGGCCAAAAUCAGUAGAUGUUUUGUUAGAAGAGUCUGCCUCUAAACAGGGCAAAUCCGAUCUGGUGGAAAUGAGGGUGAAGCCUAAAGAUGAGCAAGGUUCCCCAGGUUUGAAAGAAAGAGCAAAGUCGGCCAGUAUAUUGGAUGACUCGACAGCGAAGCCAACAUGGCAAUUGGAGGCACAGAGACGAUUGGCUCACAAUAAGCAAGCAUUUGUUGAUCCAGAAAAAGGUAUGGUUGCAACUUCAGACUCGGCUGACUCUAAACCAGUGCAAACUGCUCCUCAGAAGAAGCCUAGGACAUCCCACCCAAUCAGCGACACGCCCAUACGACCGCCAAGGCUAAAGAUUUCACCCAAACCAGUCAGCCCUCCUCCCAGUCCCACAGCUCCUGUCAGACAGCUCAAAAAGAUCUCAAUUGGUGAUAGGUUUGAGUUUAACCCCACUGAGAAGAAGAACAAGGAGCCACCAUCACCAUUGAAGACUCCACCUCAACGGCCCCCUGCUCCUAGAGGAAGUCCUUCCAAGACUGUCAGUCCAGGCCGAAUGUCUCCUGCCAUCAUCCAGAAACAGCUUGACGACAUUGAUAAAAAACUAAAUAACCUGGAAAUGAGAGGACGAGAUUUGGAGGACUCAAUCCGUAACGAUCAGAGAGGCAAGAAGGAGAAUAAGUUGAUUUUCCUGGGUGGAUACUACUGACGAGGAAGAUAAUAUGAUGAUUGAAUGGUUCAAACUCAUUAACUCCAAGAACGAAUUGGUUCGCAAAGAGGCUGACCUUAUAUACAUAUCCAAACAGCAGGAUCUGGAGGAUGAACAGGAAGACAUCGAUGAAAUGCUGAAUUACCUUGUCAUGAUACCAG
This 3590-nucleotide unclassified non-coding RNA is filed under the name Haliotis rufescens (red abalone). Its description in RNAcentral is "mICAL-like protein 2, transcript variant X3". The record is from RNAcentral. Lineage: Eukaryota; Metazoa; Mollusca; Gastropoda; Lepetellida; Haliotidae.